RNAcentral lists this unclassified non-coding RNA (231 nucleotides) under fungal sp. RNAcentral describes it as "partial internal transcribed spacer region". The stretch from base 1 to 47 matches the Rfam family "Eukaryotic small subunit ribosomal RNA", at positions 1785 to 1831 of the family's 1831-position model. Lineage: Eukaryota; Fungi. The record is from RNAcentral.
AAAGUCGUAACAAGGUCUCCGUUGGUGAACCAGCGGAGGGAUCAUUACCGAGUAUGCGCUCUAUAACCCACUGUGAACCUACCUAUUGUUGCUUCGGCGAGCCGGCCCUGCUGGGGAGGGCUCUGGUGCGCUCGCCGGAGGUAUACCAACGCAUUGCCUGCCCAGGCGCGAUAUUAUCUGAGUGGCUUCAAAAAUGAAUCAAAACUUUCAACAACGGAUCUCUUGGUUCUG